UACGAAGGGGGCUAGCGUUGUUCGGAAUUACUGGGCGUAAAGCGUAUGCAGGCGGAUCUUUAAGUCAGGGGUGAAAUCCUGAGGCUCAACCUCAGAACUGCCUUUGAUACUGGAGAUCUUGAGUCCGGGAGAGGUUAGUGGAACUGCGAGUGUAGAGGUGAAAUUCGUAGAUAUUCGCAAGAACACCAGUGGCGAAGGCGGCUAACUGGCCCGGUACUGACGCUGAGAUACGAAAGCGUGGGGAGCAAACAGG
RNAcentral lists this ribosomal RNA (253 nucleotides) under uncultured bacterium. RNAcentral's name for it is "partial 16S ribosomal RNA". It matches the Rfam family "Bacterial small subunit ribosomal RNA", at positions 524 to 776 of the family's 1533-position model. RNAcentral also lists the same sequence under 1 other name. The record is from RNAcentral.